GCCGCCUUAGCUCAGCUGGUAGAGCAUCGCAUUCGUAAUGCGGGGGUCACAGGUUCGAGUCCUGUAGGCGGCACCA
RNAcentral lists this transfer RNA (76 nucleotides) under Myxococcus xanthus. RNAcentral describes it as "tRNA-Thr". It matches the Rfam family "tRNA". Rfam says of the family: Transfer RNA (tRNA) molecules are approximately 80 nucleotides in length. The record is from RNAcentral. RNAcentral also lists the same sequence under 54 other names. Lineage: Bacteria; Pseudomonadati; Myxococcota; Myxococcia; Myxococcales; Myxococcaceae.